This 406-nucleotide ribosomal RNA is filed under the name uncultured bacterium. Its description in RNAcentral is "partial 16S ribosomal RNA". It matches the Rfam family "Bacterial small subunit ribosomal RNA", at positions 29 to 526 of the family's 1533-position model. The record is from RNAcentral.
AUUGAACGCUGGCGGCAGGCCUAACACAUGCAAGUCGAGCGAGCGGCGGACGGGUGAGUAAUGUCUGGGAAACUGCCUGAUGGAGGGGGAUAACUACUGGAAACGGUAGCUAAUACCGCAUACCAUCAGAUGUGCCCAGAGGGGAUUAGCUGGUAGGUGGGGUAACGGCUCACCUAGGCGACGAUCCCUAGCUGGUCUGAGAGGAUGACCAGCCAUACGGGAACUGAGACACGGCCCCGACUCCGACGGGAGGCAGCAGGGGGAAAUAUUGCACAAGGGGCGAAAGCCUGAUGCAGCCAGGCCGCGUGUGGGAAGAAGGCCUUCGGGUUGUAAAGCACUUUCAGCGGGGAGGCGUUACCGGAAGAAGAAGCACCGGCUAACUCCGUGCCAGCCGCCGCGGUAAUAC